UCCAUUGAACAUAGCUCAGUCAGUAGAGCAUGAGACUCUUAAUCUCAGGGUUGUGGGUUCGAUCCCAAGGCAGGGAA
This is a non-coding RNA of Podarcis lilfordi (Lilford's wall lizard), 77 nucleotides long. The record is from the annotation of a GenBank genome assembly. NCBI's taxonomy places the organism in Eukaryota, Metazoa, Chordata, Lepidosauria, Squamata, Lacertidae.